UCUUGCCCCUGGGUUGUCCUGCAUGCCGCUGAACCAACGGGGAAGACAAGGAGGAAGUGGCUUACCACCUCAAGGGGCUUCAGGAAGCACCAAGGUUGAGUCCAUUUCUGGGCCCAGUUCAAAGAGCCACCAUUAACCCAUUAACCUUUAACAGCUUGGGACAAGGUGACCUGAAGGACUGUCUCUGCCAUAUAUACUUACCCGGACAUCAAUAUCUUCUGAGGUCCUUCUCAGGGUCUCCCCAACAAAUAAGG
Lacerta agilis (Sand lizard) is the source of this 254-nucleotide long non-coding RNA. RefSeq lists it as uncharacterized. Lineage: Eukaryota; Metazoa; Chordata; Lepidosauria; Squamata; Lacertidae. The transcript is spliced from 2 exons. The record is from RefSeq and is a predicted model, not a curated record.